Molecule: RNA transcript, 2956 nt
Organism: Prionailurus viverrinus (fishing cat)
Lineage: Eukaryota; Metazoa; Chordata; Mammalia; Carnivora; Felidae
Gene: AADAT
Gene name: aminoadipate aminotransferase
Exons: 14
Source: RefSeq, a predicted model, not a curated record
CCUGCCCCGGCCCCCGCGGUGGGCGGCCAGAGCGCGUGGGGCCCGGGCCCGGGACAGGCAGCGGAGCCUGGAUUGCGGUGCGCUGGGCCAGUCUGCCACCCGGCCCAGGCCCGUUAGGGACCCAGACGCUGAGCGCAGUCCCCAGCCGGGGAGUUUCAGCGGCGGGGGGACGACCCAGGUGGCGUUUCCGGAGUUGGGAGGCACUACCUGACGCGGCUAUUUUGUUUUUCUAGUUUUCAGCUACCGAAGGUUGGAUAUCGGACAUGAAUUACUCACGGUUCCUCACGGCCACGAGCGCAGCGAGAAAGCCUUCUGCCAUCCGAAUCAUGACUGAGACAUUGAGCAGGGCACCGAAAUCGGUCAUCUCCUUGGCUACUGGAUCACCAAACCCCAACACCUUCCCUUUUAAGACUGCUGUUAUCACCGUAGACAAUGGAGAGCCCAUCCAGUUUAAUGAAGAGAUGAUGAAGAGAGCACUUCAGUAUUCUCAGAGUGCUGGAAUCCCCGAGCUGUUGUCCUGGCUAAAACAGUUACAAGUAAAAUUGCAUAAUCCUCCCACCAUCAAUUAUCCAACCAACCAAGGAAAAAUGGACUUAUGUGUAACAUCUGGCAGCCAAGACGGCCUUUGUAAGGUGUUUGAAAUGAUCAUUAAUCCUGGAGAUAAUGUCCUCCUUAAUGAACCUGUUUACUCAGGAACACUUCAAGCUCUAAUGCCACUGGGCUGCAACAUUAUUAAUGUUUCCAGUGAUGAAUAUGGUAUUAUUCCAGGCUCCCUCAAAGAAGUACUUUCCAAAUGGAAGCCAGAAGACUCAAAAAACCCCAAGAGAAACACCCCCAAAUUUCUUUACACUGUCCCAAACGGCAACAACCCUACUGGAAACUCAUUAACAACUAACCGCAAGAAGGAAAUCUAUGAGCUUGCAAGAAAAUAUGAUUUCCUCAUAAUAGAAGAUGAUCCUUACUAUUUUCUCCAGUUCAACAAGUCCUGGGCACCAACAUUUCUUUCCAUGGACGUUGAUGGGCGUGUCAUCAGAGCUGACUCUUUUUCAAAAGUCCUCUCCUCUGGGUUGAGACUAGGGUUUAUAACUGGUCCAAAACCCUUGAUAGAGAGAGUUGUCUUACACACACAAGUUUCAACUCUGCACCCCAGCACUUUUACACAGCUUCUAGUAUCACAGCUUCUACACCAAUGGGGAGAAGAAGGUUUCCUGGCUCAUGUAGAGAGGGUUACUGAUUUCUAUAGGAAGCAGAAGGAUGCAUUACUGGCAGCUGCAGACAAAUGGUUAAGUGGUUUGGCAGAAUGGCAUGUUCCUACUGCUGGAAUGUUUUUAUGGCUUAAAAUUAAGGGCAUUUAUGAUGUAAAACAACUGAUUGAAGAAAAAGCCAUUAAGAAAGAGAUAUUAAUGCUUCCUGGAAAUAUUUUCUACACUGAUACCUCAGCACCUAGCCCUUACUUUAGAGUGUCCUUCUCUUCAGCUUCUCCAGAACAAAUGGAUAUGGCCUUCCAGAGAUUAGCCCAAAUUAUUAAAGAAUCUUUAUGAAGAAAUCUUCAUAGUACUCAUGGAUUUUUCAGAUAAAUUAUUUUUAUGAUUUAGCAGGAAGAAAUGAUCGUUGGCAUUAGACUUACAGUGGAAAUGAAAUACCACAUUUCCAGAUGCCCUGCAGCUACAGUCCAUGUAUGAGUGAAGUUCCAUCAUUCAGACGCCUGGAUUCGGAACUGAGUUGAGAGGGGAGCAAGUCAAGAGGCAAGGCAUCCAUUUGCUAAGGCAAUGUGAUUUUACAGCAAGCAGCUUCUUGGUGUGGGGUUUUCUGAUCCUGGCAGAAGAAAUGAAAUCCCAGGGCUAGAAACUGUCUCUGGAAACCCCAUUUACUUUUACACGCAUUCCAAACAAUUUUGGAAACCACAGAAUAUAUGAAAAUAAACACUUCACUUAAGUUAGCUAGAGUAGUUUCUGUUAUCUGCCACCGAAUGCCAACCAGGCCAGCUGUGUCCGGGUCUCCAAGACCACCCUCAGGCUUGAUGGUUCCCUAAAAGGACUCAGAAGACCCAGAGGCUAGUGUAGCCACAGCUGCCAUUUAUUGCAGCAAAAAGGAUAGAGUAAAAUCUCAAAGGGAAAAGGCACGUGGGACAAACACAAUCUGGAGGAGACCAGGCACAAGCUUCCAAGAGUCCCCUCUUAGCAGAGUCGCACGGGAUAUGCUUAAUUCCUCGGGUGAUGAUGUGUGACAGCAAGGGCAAAGUAUCGUCAACAGGGGAAGCUCACCUGAGAGCCUGGUUGUCAGUGGUUUUAUCAGGGGUCAGUCACACACAGUGCCUGCAAUGGUGGACCUCAGUUACUGAAGCUCCACAGCCACAGGGGGAUCUUAGGUGUUCACCAUAAAGCACGUAGUAAAAACGAUCUAGAAAAGCAGUUAUAGCAUGGCUCGAGACCCCAGACAUGAAAAACACUCAUUAAUGAGAAUAUUCCAAGAGCUCAGUCCCCACGAGCCAGCCAAGGGCCAGUCACAAACACAGCCCUCAUUGGAGUGACCCAGAUCUGCUGAGUUAACCCUUUACCACCCACUGGGAACUCCACUUAUGGACAUUCAUAGUAAAGAAUUACCCAAAAUAUGGAAGAAAGUAAAAAAACAUGAAGACAGUAAUUGUAAUUUAAAACAGCAAAACAUUGGAGGUAGGGGUUGAGGUUUUGGGACUGAAGUUCUCGCAGUAAGAAAAUGGGUUAUGUCAAUUAUGGUUCAUCCACUUAAGUUUUAGGCAACCACUAAAACACCACUAUGAAGCAGUAUCAUUCAUUUUAUGAAGCACUAUGUUAAAAUGAUUAUAUAUAAUAUGGAAUGAAAAACCAGGGUAUGAAAGCAUACAUAUACUCUAAUUACAACUAUGUAAAAAAAUAAGACAUCCACCAAAAAAGCAAAAAUUGGGUAAUUUUUUAUUUUCAAAAUACUCUUUAACAUG